UACGAAGGGGGCUAGCGUUGCUCGGAAUCACUGGGCGUAAAGGGUGCGUAGGCGGGUUUUAAGUCAGAGGUGAAAUCCUGGAGCUCAACUCCAGAACUGCCUUUGAUACUGAAGAUCUUGAGUUCGGGAGAGGUGAGUGGAACUGCGAGUGUAGAGGUGAAAUUCGUAGAUAUUCGCAAGAACACCAGUGGCGAAGGCGGCUCACUGGCCCGAUACUGACGCUGAGGCACGAAAGCG
RNAcentral lists this ribosomal RNA (237 nucleotides) under uncultured bacterium. RNAcentral describes it as "partial 16S ribosomal RNA". It matches the Rfam family "Bacterial small subunit ribosomal RNA", at positions 524 to 761 of the family's 1533-position model. The record is from RNAcentral.